GAUGAACGCUGGCGGCGUGCCUAAUACAUGCAAGUCGAGCGAACAGACAAGGAGCUUUCUCCUCUGACGUUAGCGGCGGACGGGUGAGUAACACGUGGAUAACCUACCUAUAAUACUGGGAUAACUUCGGGAAACCGGAGCUAAUACCGGAUAAUAUAUUGAACCGCAGGGUUCAAUAGUGAAAGACGGUUUUGGUGUCACUUAUAGAUGGAUCCGCGCCGGAUUAUCUAGUUGGUAAGGUAACGGCUUACCAAGGCAACGAUGCGUAGCCGACCUGAGAGGGGGAUCAGCCACACUGGAACUGAGACACGGUCCAGACUCCCACGGGAGGCAGCAGGGGGGAAUAUUGGACAAGGGGGGCAAGCCUGAUCCAGCCAUACCGCGGGGGGGAAGAAGGCCUUCGGGUUGGAAAACCCUUUUUUUGGGAAAAAAAAACAGUUGGUAAAUACCCCGCUGGUCUGACGGUACCCAAAGAAGAAGCACCGGCUAACUUCGUG
RNAcentral lists this ribosomal RNA (497 nucleotides) under uncultured bacterium. Its description in RNAcentral is "partial 16S ribosomal RNA". It matches the Rfam family "Bacterial small subunit ribosomal RNA", at positions 28 to 507 of the family's 1533-position model. The record is from RNAcentral.